Molecule: ribosomal RNA, 977 nt
Filed under: uncultured bacterium
Lineage: Bacteria
Description: bacterial SSU rRNA
Rfam family: Bacterial small subunit ribosomal RNA
Source: RNAcentral
UUAUACAUGCAAGUCGAGGGGUAACAGGUCCUUCGGGAUGCUGACGACCGGCAAACGGGUGAGUAACGCGUAUGCAAUCUACCUCUAACAGGGGCACAACUUCGGGAAACUGGAGCUAAUUCCCCAUAAAACUGCGAAAUCGCAUGGUUUUGCAAUUAAAGUUCCAACGGUUAGAGAUGAGCGUGCGUUCGAUUAGAUAGUUGGCGGGGUAACGGCCCACCAAGUCGACGAUCGAUAGCUGAUGUGAGAGCAUGAUCAGCCACACGGGCACUGAGACACGGGCCCGACUCCUACGGGAGGCAGCAGUAGGGAAUAUUGGGCAAUGGAGGAAACUCUGACCCAGCCAUGCCGCGUGAAGGAUGAAGGUCCUACGGAUUGUAAACUUCUUUUAUUAGGGAAGAAACGUUUUGAUUCAUCAGAACUUGACGGUACCUAAGGAAUAAGCACCGGCUAACUCCGUGCCAGCAGCCGCGGUAAUACGGAGGGUGCAAGCGUUAUCCGGAUUCACUGGGUUUAAAGGGUGCGUAGGUGGAUUAAUAAGUCAGUGGUGAAAGCCCCGAGCUCAACUUGGGAAUUGCCAUUGAUACUGUUAGUCUUGAGUUCGGUUGAGGUAGGCGGAAUAAGUCAUGUAGCGGUGAAAUGCUUAGAUAUGACUUAGAACACCGAUUGCGAAGGCAGCUUACCAAGCCGACACUGACACUGAGGCACGAAAGCGUGGGGAUCAAACAGGAUUAGAUACCCUGGUAGUCCACGCCCUAAACGAUGAUCAUUCGACAUUAGCGAUAAACAGUUAGUGUCCAAGCGAAAGCGUUAAAUGAUCCACCUGGGGAGUACGCCCGCAAGGGUGAAACUCAAAGUAAUUUGACGGGGGUCCGCACAAGCGGUGGAGCAUGUGGUUUAAAUUCGAUGGUACGCGAGGGAACCUUUACCUGGGCUAGAAUGUGUAUUGACAAUUUGUGAAAGCAGAUCUUCCCUUC